CUCCACCUCCAAGCCCCUGCUUCCGCACGUCAUUCUUCUCCCGUCCUCGCGUCGUCGGUCUGGAGGCUAGAGCUCGCGGCCGACGCCCCCGCUCGCCAUUUGCCACGCCUUCAGAUCUGAACUCGCCCGCGAUGACGGUGAUUGGUGGAUGAGAGCCGAGUCCUGAACGGGAAGCAGCGCCCGUCCCUGUCCCACUGCCGUUGGAGAUGCAAGGAUUGCAUCGGCCAUGCCGCAGCAGCUCGGUGGCUGCCACUGCUUCACAUCCCCAUCGAGUCGGCGAGUCGCCCUCUGUCGGGCCCAUGGAAUCGGCUCCCACGACUACAAGUUCUUCCUUGGCCUGUUGUAAACCAUGGUUCUUCUCAAGCGCGGGCUAAGGUGGCACCAUGGCUCGUGCCAAGGAGGCGGCAGCGACCUGCAAACCCUGCAAGCAGCAGUAACACAACAUGUCUCCAUCCAUCCAUUCCUUCCUAUACGCCCUGAGAAUUUUGACUGCCUUUUUUCUAGUAUCCAGGCUGGUAUUUCUCCAGGGCGUAGCUGGACUCCCCUCCCAGGAUCUCACUCCACCACGGGGCCUUCCUGCUGCGAGUCUCUCUGGACGGGAGCUACAACGCCCGUCUCCAUCUCACCUUAGUCAAGAUAUGUAUAGAACUUGGAAAGGACUUGCGAGCUGGGAGAAUUUGGGAAAGGACGUUGGGAAGAUAACCAGGUUUUCAGUUGUGGAGGAACAUGACAAUUUGAACCAACUAAGAUGCAAGGGCAUGCUUCACAUGGAUUCAUACACAAUAAAAUUUGGGAAUAAAUGGUUUUACCUGCCGAUGGCAUCAGAGGAGCAGCUGCAAGCGCCGAUCUGCCUUGUCGGUUUGGAAUCAUAAGAUGCAUGCACGCUGCAACCUUCCUGCUUAUCAAUUCCUCAUGGUCAGCUCUUCUGAACAUAUUCCUCAUGGUAGAAAUGGCUGGUAUACAUGCCGGCGCGCCCAUCCGUGUGUUCAAGACUGGCUGAUUCACACCAUGGCUGAUGUGUACACACAAGCUGACCAAACACAAGCUGACCAAACACAAGCUAACCAAAAAGAGCAAAAAAGGGGUGCACACAACAUGUCCGCUGGUUAAUAACAAGUCAAGAGGGGGCUAUCCAAUGACGAGAAAGCUGGGAAGCUCGCAUUGCAGCUUUGGCUUAAGCUGUGAGCACUUUUUCGUCAGAGAAACUGUAGUUUGAUGUUUUGGCCAAGCAAUGGGCUGUUGUACCACAAUGGUGUUCCUAAUUGUUCGCUCUUCCAUAUAGAAGCUCUGAAACAAAAUGAGAUAGCCUGAAAUUAAGGGUAAUGCUUUUGAUAUCUUGAGAAAACAUAUUCAUGGAAUAUAAGUAGAAGGUUUACGAGGUUUGACUUCAAACAAAUCUUCUAUGCGAACUAAAAAGGACUGGAGGGAGUACAUAUACAGUUAAACCAGCUGCUCCGAGAGGGGAUGUUCAGGAUAACGACGGCGAGGAGCAAGUCGGCAUUUGUGAUGCUUCGCCGGAGCUAUUCCAGCUCUUCCAAAGGCACAAGGAGAGCCUAAAGUCAGGGGAAGCAUGUCAGGCUGUCCUACGAGAAGGUCGCGCAACUGAGGAUUCAGGACGCCAACAGUGUGGAGCUGUUCGCCAUCGAGAGGACCAAGGCUGCCAUCAGGGACAUCCGGACCAAGCUCAACAUCUCCCUUGCCUCCGUCAACACCGGCGACCGACUCUACAAGCAUGAUGAAUGCUGCCAUCGCUUGCUUUUGAGCACCUACAAGUUACCCUGUUGCAUGUAAUCUCUAAGACUGCCACUCAUAAGUCUUGCAUGCGCCUGUUAAUACCAGGGCUAUAACAAUUUUUAUGUGUAUAUACUCAGUUCUGCUUUUCC
RNA transcript from Triticum aestivum (bread wheat), 1883 nucleotides. RefSeq lists it as uncharacterized. NCBI's taxonomy places the organism in Eukaryota, Viridiplantae, Streptophyta, Magnoliopsida, Poales, Poaceae. The record is from RefSeq and is a predicted model, not a curated record. The transcript is spliced from 8 exons.